UACUCGAGUGGCGAACGGGUGAGUAACACGUGGGUGAUCUGCCCUGCACUUCGGGAUAAGCUUGGGAAACUGGGUCUAAUACCGGAUAGGAGCCAUCUUUAGUGUGGUGGUUGGAAAGUUUUUUCGGUGUAGGAUGAGCUCGCGGCCUAUCAGCUUGUUGGUGGGGUAAUGGCCUACCAAGGCGGCGACGGGUAGCCGGCCUGAGAGGGUGUACGGCACAUUGGGACUGAGAUACGACCCAG
RNAcentral lists this ribosomal RNA (242 nucleotides) under uncultured Actinomycetales bacterium. RNAcentral describes it as "partial 16S ribosomal RNA". It matches the Rfam family "Bacterial small subunit ribosomal RNA", at positions 88 to 334 of the family's 1533-position model. Lineage: Bacteria; Bacillati; Actinomycetota; Actinomycetes; Actinomycetales. The record is from RNAcentral.